Ipomoea nil (Japanese morning glory) is the source of this 525-nucleotide long non-coding RNA. RefSeq lists it as uncharacterized. The transcript is spliced from 2 exons. The record is from RefSeq and is a predicted model, not a curated record. NCBI's taxonomy places the organism in Eukaryota, Viridiplantae, Streptophyta, Magnoliopsida, Solanales, Convolvulaceae.
CUUAAACCGCUAAUUUGUCCCCAGAUUUCUUGAAUAUAAUCUGGGAAUUUUUGGGGAUUUUCCACUUUUACAGAAAUGCAUUGGAUGGGUUUUGCAAUAAUCGUAAUAGAUGAUUGCUGUUGAACUGGAAUGAGUGCAUGGAUACAAGUGAAGUUAAUAUCAUUUGGCAUGCUCAGAAAUUGGCUUUACUGAUGUUGCUAUGAACUAUGAUGGAUGAUAACAUAUGCCACAUCAGACCCGGUACUCACAUCAUACAAUAUCUUAUCCACAGCUGAUCCCAGUAUGUUGGGGAGUUCUUACAUUGUUGAAGCUGGAACAAACUUACCUUAGCUAGAGCUCUAAUUUUUCAGUGUCUUUAAUAACAUAGUCAUUGGUAAUAAAGAGGUCUUGAGAAAGAAUGAAAUGUUGCAAUCCCUUUGUUCAUUGUUCUUUAGUCCAACUGUGUUUGGGAUUUGGAAACUUUUGGCAGUCCAAAAUUUCCUAAAAUAUUUUGCAUUAAGAUUGUUGUGAAGUUUACUUUGUUGA